CGGCGCCACGAGUGGCAAUCGCGAUUAUUGGGCCUAAAGCGUCCGUAGCCGGUUCAGUAAAUCCUUUGUGAAAUCGCCAGGCUUAACCUGGCGGCGUGCAGGGGACACUGCUGAACUCGAGACCGGGAGGAGUUAGAAGUAUUUCUGGGGGAGCGGUAAAAUGCUAUAAUCCCAGAAGGACUACCUAUGGCGAAGGCAUCUAACUAGAACGGAUCUGACGGUGAGGGACGAAAGCCAGGGGAGCGAACCGGAUUAGAUACCCGAGUAGUCC
This 271-nucleotide ribosomal RNA is filed under the name uncultured archaeon. RNAcentral describes it as "partial 16S ribosomal RNA". It matches the Rfam family "Archaeal small subunit ribosomal RNA", at positions 477 to 747 of the family's 1478-position model. The record is from RNAcentral.